CCUACGGGCUGCAGCAGUGGGGAAUUUUGGACAAUGGCCGAAAGUCUGAUCCAGCAAUGCCGCGUGCAGGAUGAAGGCCCUCGGGUUGUAAACUGCUUUUGUACGGAACGAAAAGACUCUCUCUAAUAAAGAGGGUUGAUGACGGUACCGUAAGAAUAAGCACCGGCUAACUACGUGCCAGCAGCCGCGGUAAUACGUAGGGUGCGAGCGUUAAUCGGAAUUACUGGGCGUAAAGCGUGCGCAGGCGGUUAUGUAAGACAGAGGUGAAAUCCCCGAGCUCAACCUGGGAACGGCCUUUGUGACUGCAUGGCUAGAGUGCGGCAGAGGGGGAUGGAGUUCCGCGUGUAGCAGUGAAAUGCGUAGAUAUGCGGAGGAACACCGAUGGCGAAGGCAACCCCCUGGGCCUGCACUGACGCUCAUGCACGAAAGCGUGGGGAGCAAACAGGAUUAGAUACCCUUGUAGUC
This 465-nucleotide ribosomal RNA is filed under the name uncultured bacterium. RNAcentral describes it as "bacterial SSU rRNA". It matches the Rfam family "Bacterial small subunit ribosomal RNA", at positions 338 to 795 of the family's 1533-position model. The record is from RNAcentral.